UUCCGGUUGAUCCUGCCGGACCCCACUGCUAUCGGGGUGGGACUAAAACAUGCAAGUCGAGCGCCUUCAAGCUAUGGUGAAGGCGCGGCAAACGGCUCAGUAACACGUGGCCAACCUACCCUUGGGACGGAGACACCCCCGGGAAACUGGGGCUAAUCCCCGAUAGGUAAGGAAUCCUGGAAUGGAUCUUUGCUGAAAGGGCGUCUAGACCAUGCUUCUUAACGUCGCCCAAGGAUGGAGCCGCGGCCGAUCAGGUAGUUGGCGAGGCAACGGCUCACCAAGCCUAUAACCGGUACGGGCCGUGAGAGCGGUAGCCCGGAGAUGGGCACUGAGACAAGGGCCCAGGCCCCACGGGGCGCAGCAGUUGCGAAAACUCCGCAAUGCGCGAAAGCGUGACGGGGCUACCCCGAGUGCCGCCCGUUGAGGGCGGCUUUUCCACGGUGUAAGGAGCCGUGGGAAUAAGGAGAGGGCAAGACUGGUGUCAGCCGCCGCGGUAAUACCAGCUCUCCGAGUGGUGGGGACGAUUAUUGGGCUUAAAGCGUUCGUAGCCGGCUUAACAAGUCUUCCGUUAAAUCCAACGAUCUAAUCGUUGGGCUGCGGGAGAUACUGUUGGGCUAGGAGGCGGGAGAAGCCGACGGUAUUCUCGGGGUAGGGGUGAAAUCCUGUAAUCCCGGGAGGACCACCAGUGGCGAAGGCGGUCGGCUAGAACGCGCUCGACGGUGAGGGACGAAAGCUGGGGGAGCGAAUCGGAUUAGAAACCCGAGUAGUCCCAGCUGUAAACGAUGCGGGCUAGGUGUUGGGGUGGCCACGAGCCACUUCAGUGCCGCAUGGAAAGCAAUUAAGCCCGCCGCCUGGGGAGUACGGCCGCAAGGCUGAAACUUAAGGAAUUGGCGGGGGAGCACCACAAGGCGUGAAGCUUGCGGUUUAAUUGGAAUCAACGCCGG
RNAcentral lists this ribosomal RNA (944 nucleotides) under uncultured archaeon. RNAcentral's name for it is "bacterial SSU rRNA". It matches the Rfam family "Archaeal small subunit ribosomal RNA", at positions 1 to 921 of the family's 1478-position model. The record is from RNAcentral.